This 1207-nucleotide long non-coding RNA is filed under the name Pongo abelii (Sumatran orangutan). Its description in RNAcentral is "lncRNA (ENSPPYG00000038326.1)". Lineage: Eukaryota; Metazoa; Chordata; Mammalia; Primates; Hominidae. The record is from RNAcentral.
AUUACUAGGAAAGCCAAGUCUCUCUUCCUGGAUUUCUUCUCCUAUAAACUGCCUAUUGAUACCUACCCACUUCUCUAUGGAGCACAGGUGAAGGAUAUUGGUCAUGUAUGUUGAAAUAUUUGUCCAACUUUAUCCCUAGUUUUUUGACUUUGUAAGGAUGAGGAAUUUUAAUUUGUAUAUACUUGUAGAUGCCUUUAGAACAAUGACCAUAUCUUUUUUUAUCUCCAUGCUCCAGCACCUAGUACAAUGUCUGCAAUGGAACAGGCGAGCUGUGAAGAUUUGUGGAAUGCAUGGGUGGACUAAAGACCUAUCACCUCAGUCUAGAAUGCCCAGCAUGUUGGAGCAUGUUAAGCACUAUAUGAGCUGCUGAGGAUACAGGAACAAACAACAACACAGGUGUGUCCUCUGCCCAAACCAGGCAUAAAUGAGCUUCCAGAUGAAUACAAACAAAUCUGGAAGGCUUUUGAGGAAGAAGGACCAUUAAAAAAGCUGCUGAUGACUGCCUGGAAUCUGGUUUGGAGCAUCUCCAAAGCCAACAUACUUUCCCCCAAGAAAAUACAGGAAGAUCUCUCUGCCCAGGCUUGGAAAUACAUAAGGAUCAGGAUUGAAGAAAACAUGCACAGACGGAAGGUGGGGGCUGGUACUGGUGCUGAGCCUGGCAUGGGGAGAGAGGAAACAAGAGUGAAAAGACUCUUUCAUUCUCCUGGCAAAGGCAGCCUUGCAGCUGGGGCCAGGGUCUGUGGUGCUGAUCCAUCUGCUGGGGCGUCACCUCCCGAGAGAGUGUGUGUUCCUCCAACCACGCGUGUCUUAGCACCAGUCUCUGGCAGGAGCCAGGAGAUGGGGAAGACAAUUUAAAUGAUUCACAUAACUUAAAAAAAUGUGGAUAAGCACUUUAUUUUUCUCCCAAACCAAGAAUAUCUACUCAAUUUAAACUUUUACCUGCGAUCUCUCUUCCUCAGACCCAGGGUCACGAACUUGCCGUCUAACCUGGCAGGUCAGUAAAACCUUACCCCGAUCAGGUCUUCAUCUGUAAAAUGAGAAGGUGGCAGCAGAGGCUCCGAAGGCUCCUUCCAAAUGAAAACAAAUACGAUUUUUACAUCAAUAGAAUUUCAAGGGGCUCACACUUGACUAUAUGAAAGAGAAAAUAAAAAAUUGUUUAUUUUUGUGUUGGCCUUUUCCUAUCAUUUUAGCUUACUUAUUUCUAUUU